AUGGCGGCAGAGGCGGCGGCUAUCUCGGCCGCUGUGAGGAGCGGCAGCGCAAUCAUCUUAGGCAGCCUCAACACCAAGGUCAGAAAAGAUAAGGAGCUUCGGAGGGCACUGGGGAUAAAUAAGGAGUGGAUCAAGACGGAGAUGGAAUUGUUAUCGUUACAAGUCGGAGCUGGGCACGGGCUGAGCGAGGAGGAGGAGAAUGGCCGCAGCGAAGCUUGGCAGGUAUGGGCUCAGAAAGUUCGGGAGCUCAGGUACCAAAUAGAGGACUGCAUAGUUUCCUAUGAAGGCAGGGUCAGUUGCAGGUGGGACGCGCCGUGGUAUCGCCGCAAGCUUCACCCGGCAAUGACUCUGCCCACCCGCACUAGAUAUGCCAAUCGAUUUGCCAAACUCAGGGAGCGGGUUGUGGGAUUAGUUCAGCAGAGAGACGCGCAUGUCCAGAGCACCACACCUGCCAACGCUGCAUAUGAUUAUGAAGCGACCAUCUACACCAAACCCAAGAAUGUCGAGGGCAUCGACAAGCCCAAGAAUGCCCUCCUUGAGCUGUUAGACCUGAAAGCGGUACAACCGGAGGUGGUCCAACCCAGGUCCGAGAUUGUAGAGGUGGCCGACCGCCAAGCUCAUGCUCAUCACAAACUCAAGGUGAUCUCCAUCGUGGGGUUCGCGGGCCUGGGAAAGACCACCCUUGCCGAGUCCGUGUUCCAUAGUUCUGACAUCACCCAGCGGUUCACCCGCCGGGCGUGGGUGGCAGCGUCGAGCCACGGGAAAACAAGGGAUCUUCUAGUGGACAUAAUCAAUCAGUUUAAUCUGGCAGAAACAAUCAACACAAAUGCCCUUCAGCCUCAGCAUAUACUGGCAGAACAUCUCAAUGCAUGUUUGCAGAAUGGACCCAGGUACUUUGUCGUAAUCGAUGACCUGCAAACAGAACCACGCGAAUGGGAUGCCUUGAAAUCUGCCUUCCCUACGAGGGGAGCUCAUGGAAGAAUUAUUGUUACCACACGUAAUCAGUCGAUGGCUACAAGGUGCAGUUCCAAUGGUGGCUGUGUUCAUCAAAUGCAACCUCUUGACAGGGCUGACUCUAGGGCCUUAUUUCUCAAGGAAGUUUUCAGCGAUACAUGUACAUCUUGUACACCUGAGUUUGAGGGAGGUUUAGCAACCAUCUUGGACAAAUGUGAGGGUUGGCCGCUUGCUUUACUCGACAUCGCUCAGCUACUGAAGGGAUCUCGUGGAACACCGACUGGUUUCGACUGUCGGGAUAUCUGUGACGAACUAGGUUCUCAUCUGGAUUGGCAUCAAACCAAAGACUUGGAGAGAACAAGAAAAGUGAUUGUCGAUAGCUUCAGCUUCAACCGUAAAGAUGAUGGGUGCCUCAAGACCUGCCUGUUGUAUGCAAGCAUACACCAGAAAUUCCUCCGAACCAAAUGGAAAAGUCUACUCAGGCGAUUGUCAGUAGAAGGUAAGAGCAGUGUCACUCGCACCCAGUUUGAAGAGUUGUUAGGAAAAGGCGAGAGAAGUGUCGUUCAUGGCCAAAUCAAAGAGCUGUUCAACCGAUGUAUCAUUCGUCGCCGGAGCAGUAGGCAAAACUAUAAGGUGAAGACAUACCAGAUUGGCCAUGUACUCCUCGACUUCAUGAUCUGCAAGCAAGCCUACAGAAACUUCAUCACUCUCAUUCACGACGGCCAACGUCGCCCUUAUGGUGGGAAGAAAGACACUGCCGUUCGUCGACUCUACCUGAGCGGCAAAACCCCAAAGAUUGGCCGAGUGGUAAUGGCAGAGAGUUCUAAGAAAGAUAGCUUAUCCAGCAUCAGGUCACUGACAAUCGCUGAUCACCACGGCGAUGAAUUGGUGGAUUUUGACAAGUAUAAGAUGCUACGAGUCUUGGAUGUAGAAAACUGCAAGAAGGUCAAUGACACGGAUCUCAAGAAGAUUUGUAAGCUUGUGUACCUCAAUUAUCUGAACCUGAGAGGUACCAAUGUGAGGACGCUUCCAAGGAAAGCCUCCAAGCUACAUCACUUGCAGAUACUGGACAUGAGGGAGACCAACGUGGAGGCAGCAUUGCCUUUGGAGGUCCUAGUUCUGGGACAGCUAGUCCACCUGUUUGGCCGAUUUAAGCUGCAUCCUGAGCUAAGCAAAGUUGGCACAGGGCAUCGUAAGGUGAAACUUUUGGAGAGAGAUAGUAAACUUAAAACAUUUGCAGGAUUUGUCCUUGACGGCUGCGAUGGCUUUCAACACAUCAUGUCUGCCAUGAAGACACUGAAGAAGGUUAAGGUAUGGUCUGGGCCUACUCAAGGAAAUGACUUAGUUGAGUGCUUGGUCCCUUCCCUUCAGAAGCGCUUUACGGAAGAUACUGCCCUGGAGUCACUGUCAAUUGAUUUCGGCAAUGACUCCAUCGACUUCCUCGGCUGCCUACAGGGUCCAUGUGCUCUCGAAUCAAUCAAACUGCAUGGUAAACUACUAGGAUUGCCGGACUUCUUUUUUGAAGAUGGAUUUCAUGUUCAAGAGGUGCAACUCUUGAAAACCGGUUUGAGCUGCCAAGAUUUGUCAGCCCUGCAGAAUCUGGAUUCAUUGCUCUAUCUGAAGUUGGAUGAGGAUUCAAUCAUCUUUACUAGCGGCACCUUUACCUUCCGUCGGGAUGGAUUCAAAAGCCUUAAGGGGCUGUGCUUUCAGGCCCCAAUGCUUCCGAAAGUGGAGGUCAUGGAAGGAGCCAUGCCGUCUCUUGAGUCUCUUCAGCUGUUUUCCCAGCGUAUACAAGGCCUGGAUGUGUCUUCUAUGGACCGUCUCCAGCAUCUCAAGGAAGUCACUCUUCACUCUCUUGUUGAUGCAGAAACAAGGCAUUCUUGGGAAGAUGAAGCAAAGAAGCACAGAAACAGGCCAACAGUUAUUGUUGCUUAA
Molecule: ribosomal RNA, 2889 nt
Filed under: Triticum aestivum (bread wheat)
Lineage: Eukaryota; Viridiplantae; Streptophyta; Magnoliopsida; Poales; Poaceae
Description: partial small subunit ribosomal RNA
Source: RNAcentral